Molecule: long non-coding RNA, 835 nt
Filed under: Volvox carteri
Lineage: Eukaryota; Viridiplantae; Chlorophyta; Chlorophyceae; Chlamydomonadales; Volvocaceae
Description: long non-coding RNA (VCAR_LNC002109)
Source: RNAcentral
UAACCAUCCGGUCUUAAACUUCCCUGCCGUCAGGUACUGUGCGGCUUGUCUCCACGGGGAGUUUCAAGGCAAGAUGCCAUCUCUUACCAAGUGCGGUGCCUGCGGAAAGAACCCCAGGUCAAAGCCCAACGCAGAACGGGGCAGCUGGGCGGGCACCAAGGUCCCGCUGAGAUCAGCGGACACGACUGGCAACUGACACUAACCUCUACGGUUGGCAACGGACACUAACCAACCAACGAACAAGGGGCGGCAACCUGCUAGUAAAGCCUCAGAUGAAUAGAAAUCAGACCAAGCCGACGUCCUCCAUGGCGAAAUUGGAGUGCCAAAGUAGCCUGGGUGAAAUAAUAGCGCGCCAUUAGCAUGGAUCUGUCCAUGGUAUGUGCGCUAUACUUCGUUUGCGCGUACCAGGGGCGCGUACAUAGCCUGGCGCGUACAUACAUAGCCGUGCUUUAUAACUGUGCAUGCUUGUACAUAUUCUGAUGGGUAUAAUGCGUUUAUAACUUAUGUGCUCAUCCGUGUCAAUAACUUGCUUGGAGCCGACGUUGAACUGGAAUGGGCCCUGUCCUGUUUGCCUACCGUAUAGUUGGGGGAGUGUUGAAGGGUGUUCUUUAUGAAUAUCAGCACGACGUGGCAAGGCGUCUGCUGAACCCUAGAACUUUGGCAGUUGACUAAUUGUCAACAACGAGGCCGAUUUGUGCUAAACGCGUUGAUAACGCUAAGAGGGUGUUUCCAACCAGCCGGGGUUCACAAGUUUCUCCCAGGCGCACGCACCUUUCCCGGUGAAAAGCAUGAACUUAAAUUGCACAUGUAAAUGUAUGUUAUAAUUACUGCAGAA